This 970-nucleotide ribosomal RNA is filed under the name uncultured bacterium. Its description in RNAcentral is "bacterial SSU rRNA". It matches the Rfam family "Bacterial small subunit ribosomal RNA", at positions 483 to 1454 of the family's 1533-position model. The record is from RNAcentral.
CCAGAAAGGGACGGCUAANUACGUGCCAGCAGCCGCGGUAAUACGUAGGUCCCGAGCGUUNUCCGGAUUUAUUGGGCGUAAAGCGAGCGCAGGCGGUUAGAUAAGUCUGAAGUUAAAGGCAGUGGCUCAACCNUUGUAGGCUUUGGAAACUGUUUAACUNGAGUGCAGAAGGGGAGAGUGGAAUUCCAUGUGUAGCGGUGAAAUGCGUAGAUAUAUGGAGGAACACCGGUGGCGAAAGCGGCUCUCUGGUCUGUAACUGACGCUGAGGCUCGAAAGCGUGGGGAGCGAACAGGAUUAGAUACCCUGGUAGUCCACGCCGUAAACGAUGAGUGCUAGGUGUUAGGUCCUUUCCGGGACUUAGUGCCGCAGCUAACGCAUUAAGCACUCCGCCUGGGGAGUACGACCGCAAGGUUGAAACUCAAAGGAAUUGACGGGGGCCCGCACAAGCGGUGGAGCAUGUGGUUUAAUUCGAAGCAACGCGAAGAACCUUACCAGGUCUUGACAUCCCGAUGCCCGCUCUAGAGAUAGAGCUUUACUUCGGUACAUCGGUGACAGGUGGUGCAUGGUUGUCGUCAGCUCGUGUCGUGAGAUGUUGGGUUAAGUCCCGCAACGAGCGCAACCCUUAUUGUUAGUUGCCAUCAUUCAGUUGGGCACUCUAGCGAGACUGCCGGUAAUAAACCGGAGGAAGGUGGGGAUGACGUCAAAUCAUCAUGCCCCUUAUGACCUGGGCUACACAUGUGCUACAAUGGCUGGUACUACGAGUCGCAAGCCGGUGACGGCAAGCUAAUCUCUGAAAGCCAGUCUCAGUUCGGAUUGUAGGCUGCAACUCGCCUACAUGAAGUCGGAGUCGCUAGUAAUCGCGGAUCAGCACGCCGCGGUGAAUACGUUCCCGGGCCUUGUACACACCGCCCGUCACACCACGAGAGUUUGUAACACCCGAAGUCGGUGAGGUAACCGUAAGGAGCCAGCC